This 204-nucleotide long non-coding RNA is filed under the name Elaeis guineensis (African oil palm). RNAcentral describes it as "long non-coding RNA (EGUI_LNC025224)". The record is from RNAcentral. Lineage: Eukaryota; Viridiplantae; Streptophyta; Magnoliopsida; Arecales; Arecaceae.
CUCUCUAUCUCUCCCUUGCCUUUAGUCAUCAAGAUUUUCACCACGAGUGAUGGCCUCAUCUAUGAGAAAUUGAUCGGGAUAAGCAUCUUAGAGUUCAAUUAGGUCUACCAAAAAAAUGAGUAAGACCGUGCAAUCUGAUACACCUGUAUCACCAUCGAUCUCCAAGAUAUUACCAUAGCCUCUUCAUCAUCACCGUCGACUAUC